Molecule: long non-coding RNA, 1227 nt
Filed under: Anneissia japonica
Lineage: Eukaryota; Metazoa; Echinodermata; Crinoidea; Comatulida; Comatulidae
Description: uncharacterized LOC117111464, transcript variant X1
Source: RNAcentral
AUAAAGAUCAGUCAUCGUCCCUGUGUAAAAGCUGCUUUCUAAAGAAGCCCAAUAAAAAAUGAGAGCAAGAUAGGCCUAGGCCCUAGCAUCUUUGUCGCUGGUAAAACACGUCUAAAAAAGCAUGACGUCAUAUAUUACGCUACGCGUAAUGGAUGGUUGCAAGAACGAAUUUUCGUAAAUGAAAAUUCAUUAUUAGGGGCCUAGCCUAGGCUUAGAUAAUGUUCAAUUCAGCGCCUAUUGUGGAUGCCAAGGAAUAUAUACUGUAGGAACAAGACGCUCAGAUGAUUUCACUAAGAAAGAAGUCAAAGGGAAAACUCUAUUUGAGACAACUGUGGCUCGUCCCAGAGAAAAACGAAAGCAAGUGAGAAAGAUGUACGCAAGCGAUAUGGAUCUGAAGGACCUUGGGGGAAAGUAUGGAUUAAAAGACAGUUGAUGUUCAUCCAACAGAGGAGGAGAAAGAAGAUUUAGAUGAACUUUUAACAGAGAGAAGUAAAACAAGAAGACAAACAGAAAAAAAAAAGCAGGAGAGGAAAAAUGUACAUUACAUCUCAAAGAUGCGUACGAUUAUCAAGACCGCUCCUUACUACACAUUCCAAUGGAUCUUGACGUCGACCUCAAGUCAGAGGACCCGCCUGAGAAAUGUUACCUGCCGAAGAAGCUCCUACACACCUGGACGGGACACACAAAAGUUGUGGGAAGUGUAUAACAAAAGGUGUGUUAUCUGUCUGUCCAUGAUGCAUUCUUCAAUAAUAUUGGUGAUAAGUUUAUCAGCACAGGCUAUGACCGAUACAUGAAAAUUUGGAAUACAGAAACGGAACUGGAAAUUUAAAGCGCUUCGAAAAUUAUUUACUCCUGUCUUGCGCUACAAAUAAUAAUAAUAAUAAUAAUAAUAAUAUCUCAAAUUUAUAUGGCGCCAAUUUCAAACAAGAUCGAAGGCGCAACACAUGUGAAAAGCCACCAGUAAACAAAUAGGUCUUAGAGUUGGAAGAAGUUAUGUAAUUUGGAAGUUGGUUCCAGAAAUAGACAGAUGCAAAAGUAAAAGAACAUUGACCGUAGGUUUUGGUACAGCAAUUGGAGACAGAAAAAGAACGUAAAUAUGAAGAUUCAUUCAGAUGGAGAGCUUUAAAGGUCAGAACAAGUAAUUUAAAUGCAAUGAACAAGUAAUUUAAAUUGCAAUGCAAUAAAAUGUUGUUUGUUAUCAUAAUAUUAUGUUUGCCCAAUUCUUGU